RNAcentral lists this ribosomal RNA (643 nucleotides) under Salmonella enterica subsp. enterica serovar Typhi str. CT18. RNAcentral describes it as "bacterial SSU rRNA". It matches the Rfam family "Bacterial small subunit ribosomal RNA", at positions 902 to 1533 of the family's 1533-position model. Lineage: Bacteria; Pseudomonadati; Pseudomonadota; Gammaproteobacteria; Enterobacterales; Enterobacteriaceae. The record is from RNAcentral.
CAAAUGAAUUGACGGGGGCCCGCACAAGCGGUGGAGCAUGUGGUUUAAUUCGAUGCAACGCGAAGAACCUUACCUGGUCUUGACAUCCACAGAACUUUCCAGAGAUGGAUUGGUGCCUUCGGGAACUGUGAGACAGGUGCUGCAUGGCUGUCGUCAGCUCGUGUUGUGAAAUGUUGGGUUAAGUCCCGCAACGAGCGCAACCCUUAUCCUUUGUUGCCAGCGGUCCGGCCGGGAACUCAAAGGAGACUGCCAGUGAUAAACUGGAGGAAGGUGGGGAUGACGUCAAGUCAUCAUGGCCCUUACGACCAGGGCUACACACGUGCUACAAUGGCGCAUACAAAGAGAAGCGACCUCGCGAGAGUAAGCGGACCUCAUAAAGUGCGUCGUAGUCCGGAUUGGAGUCUGCAACUCGACUCCAUGAAGUCGGAAUCGCUAGUAAUCGUGGAUCAGAAUGCCACGGUGAAUACGUUCCCGGGCCUUGUACACACCGCCCGUCACACCAUGGGAGUGGGUUGCAAAAGAAGUAGGUAGCUUAACCUUCGGGAGGGCGCUUACCACUUUGUGAUUCAUGACUGGGGUGAAGUCGUAACAAGGUAACCGUAGGGGAACCUGCGGUUGGAUCACCUCCUUACCUUAAAGAAGC